RNAcentral lists this long non-coding RNA (1103 nucleotides) under Pandoravirus neocaledonia. RNAcentral describes it as "hypothetical ncRNA". The record is from RNAcentral.
UUCGGGCGGACCCACAAGGGCAUAGUGUCGAUGGUUGGCCAGAAGACGCACGGCCUCGGUCCACCCACGACGCACGGCCUCACACAGAGGGUCAAUCUCUCUGCCACCAUCGCCGUGGUUGCGAUCGAGCACGGCCUCGGACACGCGGUACCCAUCGGCAUCGAGCACAACGCGCAACAUGACCAUGUCGCGGCGACGCACGGCGGCGAUGGCAGCGCGUGCCGGCAGGUCUAUACGGUCGGGUGCGUCGUAUGGUCGGUUCGCGACAAAGGCCAACAGUGUGCGCACCAGGAGGACCCGACGCCGAGCAACGGCCGACUCUAGACAGGCACGACUGACACCCACCGUCGUCAUAUCGCCCCUAUUGUUGCCGGCAUUGGUGUAGUCGUCGUCGUUGUUGUCACCAACAAGUGCGCUCAUGGGAAGUGCUGCCAACAGGCACAAGGGCACAGCAUCAUCGUUACGCACCGCCUCGCACGCGGCCUCGAUAUCGCGCGUCUCGAUGGGCACGGAGCGCAUCGUGCCCAUAUCGGACCGACAGCGUACGGCCAGUAGCCGCUGAGCAAUCCAACGAUUUGCAUGGCCAAAGAGCGAACCGUGUGGGUUGGGCGCCGCACAAAGCGCUGUCAUCACGCGCCUGUCGCCGAGCAGGCGAUCGACAGUUGUCUCGUCUCCGCGGCGACAGGCCUCAUAGAGAGCGCGGUUGGCACCGCACGACGGAUCGUGACCUGGCAGGGUGUCAAAGAGCAAACGAGCGCGCCUGCACGUGGCGCGCCAUGCGGCAGCCGCUUCGGGUGUAUCGACGGCGGCAAAGAUGCGCGACCAUAAUUCGGGCGGCAGGCGUGCAUCCAACGGGACGUUGUCGGUCACGGUGCCACAAAGUCGGAUACGCUUGGUGGGCCGCGACUCGCCCAUCGAUUUUCUAGCUAGUGCAAUCGCUUCCACCCUUUGGCCCGCGGGACCCGUUUGCUGUCUAUCUCUUUUGCCCCUUUUUUUUUCUCUUUUUUGUACGAGAGUCAGGCACAGUGUCUCGUCUUUUGUAUUUUGCUUUUUUUUGUGUAAAAGCACCACAAAUCAAAUACACGCGGCGAGGUUCCGCCCGG